Molecule: unclassified non-coding RNA, 1185 nt
Filed under: Eurytemora carolleeae
Lineage: Eukaryota; Metazoa; Arthropoda; Copepoda; Calanoida; Temoridae
Description: uncharacterized LOC111707913
Source: RNAcentral
AAUAUUUGAAUAAAGUUAAUUUUUUUCCGGCUCUAAUUUUAUAUGUACACCCUGUAUAAAUUGGAAACUGACAGCUUAUUAAACCCGGUUAAGAAACACCAAUGACAUCGUCAUCGAAGAUUUGUAUGAAUUAUAUUCAAAAUCAUUUUAAAUACGCAAUUUGGUUUUGCGUAGAUAGAGACUAAGUACGCAGUAGGUUUGUGUUCAUGUGAGGGUAGGAGGGGGGGAGGGGUUAUAUGACCGUUAUUAAGAGAAGUAAUCCGACCUUGCGAAAGGAAACCUUAUCAUUAAAUGAAAUAAGUUUGUAGCGUGAUGAACCAGAUUCCUCAAUAUGAUUUUACUGCUCCUGUCCCGGUGGUGCCAGGAGCGGUCUCCUCAGAUAUUACUGAUGCUCCUCUUUUUAAUGGUGGGAGCAGAGCUGUUUUUGCUGCUCCUUCUUGCUAUAACGGAGAUUUUACUUCUCCCUCUGCUGAUAAUACCCUUCCUGUAACUUGGAGAUUCUCAGAUCCUGUCCGUCUUCUACCGCUCUCAUCCACCCAACGAGCUUCCCAUGCUGCCAACCACCCUGAGAAUCUAAUCACCACCCUUCAAAACCGCCUGGUCACCCUGUGGAGAUACAUCAAACCUGCUCCAGAGCAUGUCCCUCCUAAAGAUACUGAGUAUGAGGGGGAUACAGAUGAAAGUGAUACAUCCUUCAAUGAUAUUGGAGAUGAUGAUUUUGAAUCUGACUCCCUAGAGUCUGAAGAAGAGGUUGGAGCUGAUCCAGGUCCGAAGGAGGAGAGAAGAAAACUUUCGAACAUGCUGCUCACCCUGCAGGGUAUAACAGAGCAGGUUAAACUGCUGAAAGAAGAGAAUAAGAAGCUCCAGACUUCUGUUGAAUCACUGGAGUGCAAUAAUAUAGCACUUUUACGGAGGUGUGAAAAUAACCCUAAUAAUCAUCAAACCAAACUUUAUCCGAAGAAUCUCUCAACGCAAAUUAGAAAACUUGUCAAGACGACUGUACGGAGUUUAUAUUCGGUCUGUUUCCUGCAACUGUAAAAUUGUUUCUUUCUUUGCUUAACUGUUUAAUAGGCUAUUAAAAGACUAUAUUCAAGGAUAAUUAUCGCAUCAGGAUACCUGAGUCUGAUAUCAAGGCUUGCUACAAGAUGCCUGAGGGCACCCUGGUGUUCAGAAUGAAAAAUGAUG